AUGAACACUUAUCCACUUUUACAUGAGAAUAUUGCCAAUUCGUUUUUUUCAAAAAUGUUAGAAACUAAUUUUAUGCGUGUCCAGUGGGAACAUCGUUUAUGGAUAAAAACAAAACAUUUCCCCUGCAGGAAAAUGACAGCUGCAGAUGCGAGAAUGGACACUGGGCUUCCGGUCAGCUCGUCUAAGGAUACAUUUAAAAUAAGUAAUGUUAGUUUUAUGGAAGUUGCACCUUUACAGAUUAAAAUUACAAAGUGGGGUGGGGGGAAUCACACAAUAAAAUAUUUGUAUUAUAUUAGAAUGGAGUUUUUCAGCAUUUACAUUAAUCUUCUUCAUUGAUCUGUCCACGUUUAUAUAGACCCUUUUACUGUUUGUACACAAUGAUGACGUAGCAACGUAUGUGCACACAUUUUGGCAACAAACUAUGGCGAGAAUCAGCAGCAUGUCAAGCUACGCGAGUGGAUUAAGCAACAGAGAAAGUUAUUAUAAAAAGUUGACUUUAUCAAAUGGUAUUUGGCUACCAGAUCCGUGUACUAUAGUGGAGUGGAUAGAAGACGUUAGCAGAUGGCCAAAUAUACAGUGGCCGGAUAUAUAUAGGUAGUUCUAUGAGAAACCGAGCGUGUACACCCGGAGGAAAUUACAUGCAUAUAAAUCACUGGAUGCUUAUGAAUACAUUGUCUGUGGGCAUGUACAGAACGUCAAAUACCAUGACAUAGACUCAGUUUUGUGUGUUAAAAUCAGAAAUUCUCCCUAGUCAAAGACAAGGACACAAGGCAACGAUGUAUGAGGCUUGGGUUAUAAUCAACCAAUGAGUAUAAUGUUAGUUUGAAUAGGUCUGCGUUUGUCUUCAGGUUAGUUACUUUAGAAAUUACAUUUGUUUGUUGUCUAUUGUACACCUGUGUGUUUAAAGCUCUGAUGUGAACAUUAUGCAGCACAGUAACUGUCUUUUUGAUGCUCUAUUAUCAGUGUUGACAGAUGAUGACAUCCGGGAACUCCAGGUUGUGGACCCCAGAGCUGGAGAAUAGUGACACAGACACCGCAUCAUCUGACACUGAUUCAGAGGAGCAUCCUGACUUACCGGAGUAAUAAUCUAUUGUAUUGUGUUAUGAAUCUGGUCCAUGUUACCCAGAGCUACCUUUAUUGUUUGUUUUCCUUCAUUCUUUCCUACAUUUAUUCUUAUUCUUCACCCAGACCUACAUUUAUCCUUUUCCUUACAUUUUAUGUUGUUGUUAUUGAUUUGUAUGUGUCGACGCACUUUUGUUUAAAGUUUAAUUUGGUAAUGCUAUAGUACUUUAAUAGCAAGUUUCAAGUACAGUAAAUAUGUUUUACAAAUGUAAAUCUUUUUAAAACUAAAACAUGGUAAAUGUGUUACUCAUUUGGAAACAACACUCUUACAGAGGUUUGUGAGGGCACCACAUAGAGUCACAACAUCGUCUAGCAUGUUUACCUGCGACACAGGAAUAACUGUUUGCAAAAUCUUUUCUUCCACCUACCAAUCGCUCCACAUGGAUUCUCACACGAGAAAGUUGUCUAGAUGUGUCAACUUCCUGUGCAGAAAGCUGCUUUUUUCCUUUUGUGAAAUGAGGGAUACGAAGGGUUGCACCAUAAGCUGCAAGCUCGUCUCUGAUGAGAAAACCUCAUCGCUAGGCUCCAAAAGUUCUAAGAAACCUGACUCUUUUGUGAUCUGCUUGUCUGAAACCGUCCACCCCACCCAGGAGAUAGAAAAGAAAUUGCACCAGCUGGAGGGAUAGCUAUUAAAUAUUUGAUGGUGUUGUUGUGUUUAUAAUUUGACCAUGUCUGGGCCCUAGCAGUCAGAUUACUGGGUCUAGCUAUGAACAUUUCUGUGCAGUCUAUUAUGCACCGGCAGAUUUUAAAGUUCUGCUUGAAUGUUUUUGGCAUAUUUUUAGGUAUUGCGCCAUUUAAUUAGUGGCUUAAGGACCAAGGCCAUACCAGGGACCCAGCUCCGCAAAAUAUUUGAAAUCGUGGUUUUUGAUACCUUAAAUCUAUAUGCCAAGUCAGUAUUACAUAUGCCCAAACUUAAUUUCAUCAACAGGUGGUCUUCUAGUGUAAGUUUUUGCAUAAUUAUUUCUAAGUUGCCUGUUAUUUUUGUAACCAGCCACUCAAAGAGCAUGGAGGUCAUUCCUGUGAGAAAAAACAACUGUCCAAUGUUGCACUUAACAGCGGUGUAGGGAAAAGUAGAUUUAUGCAGCUCCUCUUUCAGCUUUACAUUUUCUGCUUGUAGUGUGUCAAACUUGUGACACAGGUGUACAUAGUCCUCCUGAAGCUGACUGUGUCUCCGGUUCAGGUCAUCAUACUCCCUCAUUGUAACUGGGAUGUCGUCUUCAGCUUUAAUAAAGAAAAGUAAAAAAUUAGCAUAUGCUGCAACCAAUGCAGACAAUUUCACAAUUGGGGGUUCUCACAUUUUAGCAAAUUGUUUUUUUUUUCAUUUCUUAAUAGAAAAGAAGAUACUUUAUUGAUCACCGGGUG
Molecule: long non-coding RNA, 2484 nt
Filed under: Carassius auratus (goldfish)
Lineage: Eukaryota; Metazoa; Chordata; Actinopteri; Cypriniformes; Cyprinidae
Description: lncRNA (ENSCARG00000003495.1)
Source: RNAcentral